UAUAAAAGCCCAGCCUGCACCAAAUGCAUCAGUGUACACCACAGCUCCCAGGAAGACAUCUUGGAUUUACAAGUACCGGGAGAUCCUGACGCAGAGAGGCCUUCGCCAACAGGAAAAAGCAAAGCUGCAUACCCUUGCAUGGACUGCAGUUGCAAGCAGGCUCCACCCACCCUGGCAAUUGACCGACUGCUUGAUUUUCUCAUUUUCCUGCUGUGACCUAGAACUUUUCUGAAAAGAAAAGGAAAGAAAAUGUAGCCAGUUUCAAUGAAGAGUGCCCAGCUUUUGCCUGGAGAGACACUGACAUUUGGGAGUGGGAAGCCUGGGAGCGGUUCAAGAUUCUUUACCACUUGAGUUUUUGCCUUUGAACUUCUCUGAGUAUCAAAGCUGAGUCCUGGCUUCUUACUUGCUGUGAAUCCUCAGUGACACAGAAGCUGGACUGCUCCUUAAGAGCAGAGAAAGACUAAGAUGGAUUUACAGACAUUACAGAGGUCACAAGCUA
This is a long non-coding RNA of Mesocricetus auratus (golden hamster), 499 nucleotides long. RefSeq lists it as uncharacterized. The record is from RefSeq and is a predicted model, not a curated record. The transcript is spliced from 2 exons. Lineage: Eukaryota; Metazoa; Chordata; Mammalia; Rodentia; Cricetidae.